Molecule: long non-coding RNA, 354 nt
Organism: Schistocerca gregaria
Lineage: Eukaryota; Metazoa; Arthropoda; Insecta; Orthoptera; Acrididae
Exons: 3
Source: RefSeq, a predicted model, not a curated record
AGACCUUUCAUAUAACAAGUUGUCAGUGAUCUUCCAAGGCUUUGAUAGUGGUCAUUUAACUUUUAUAGACCUGUGGGGUAAUAAUUUUGAUUUACAAAUGCAAUGAUUCCAACACCAUUAAUGUGCCCAAAGGCCUGGAUAAAGCCACUUGUAAAUUGGGUAAUGCCCAUAGUACCUAAAAGCUGCGAUUAUAGUGACAUUUCGAGGACCUGCAAAAUUUAAUGUUAUUUUAUCAAGCGCAGACUCUAUCUAUUAUGUUAGUAUGACACAAGUACCAAUCAUAUUAAUUGGACUGUCAUUCUUCUUCUAGCUAUGUCAUUACUAUGUAUAUGCGGAGCAUAUUCUAACCUAUUA